AACACUGUUAACCUGCGGUACCUGCGGAAGGAUCAUUACAGAGUGUUUAACCCCCUGUAAAAUGGUGGGUCUAACCUCCCGUCCUUUGCUGGGUCCCCCUUCUGGAGGACUUUCAAAACUUUCUGCUUCGGCGGGGUAUACCCGCCGGAACACCCUCAAAAAAUUCUUGAUCAAAAUGGUUCGGUCCGAGAAACUUUUUGUGAAAAUUAGCGAAAAACUUUUAACAAUGGAUCUCAGAUC
Molecule: unclassified non-coding RNA, 240 nt
Filed under: soil metagenome
Description: partial contains 5.8S ribosomal RNA, internal transcribed spacer 2, and large subunit ribosomal RNA
Source: RNAcentral